This 73-nucleotide transfer RNA is filed under the name Omnitrophica bacterium RIFCSPLOWO2_02_FULL_44_11. Its description in RNAcentral is "tRNA-Ala". It matches the Rfam family "tRNA". From Rfam's summary of the family: Transfer RNA (tRNA) molecules are approximately 80 nucleotides in length. Lineage: Bacteria; Pseudomonadati; Candidatus Omnitrophota. RNAcentral also lists the same sequence under 1 other name. The record is from RNAcentral.
GGGCCGGUAGUUCAGUUGGGAGAACGCUACAAUGGCAUUGUAGAGGUCGCGAGUUCGAUUCUCGCCCGGUCCA